RNAcentral lists this ribosomal RNA (465 nucleotides) under uncultured bacterium. Its description in RNAcentral is "partial 16S ribosomal RNA". It matches the Rfam family "Bacterial small subunit ribosomal RNA", at positions 28 to 507 of the family's 1533-position model. The record is from RNAcentral.
GACGAACGCUGGCGGCGUGCUUAACACAUGCAAGUCGUACGGUAAGGCCCUUUCGGGGGUACACGAGUGGCGCACGGGUGAGUAACACGUGAGUAACCUGCCCACAACUUUGGGAUAACGCUAGGAAACUGGUGCUAAUACUGGAUAUGUGCUCCUGCUGCAUGGUGGGGGUUGGAAAGCUCCGGCGGUUGUGGAUGGACUCGCGGCCUAUCAGCUUGUUGGUGGGGUAGUGGCCUACCAAGGCGGCGACGGGUAGCCGGCCUGAGAGGGUGACCGGCCACAUUGGGACUGAGAUACGGCCCAGACUCCUACGGGAGGCAGCAGUGGGGAAGAUUGCACAAUGGGCGCAAGCCUGAUGCAGCAACGCCGCGUGCGGGAUGACGGCCUUCGGGCUGUAAACCGCUUUCAGCAGGGACGAAGCUUUUUGUGACGGUACCUGCAGAAGAAGCACCGGCUAACUACGUG